UGAGGAAUAUUGGUCAAUGGGCGAGAGCCUGAACCAGCCAAGUCGCGUGAAGGAAGAAGGAUCUAUGGCUCGUAAACUUCUUUUUUAGGGGAAUAAAGUGCGGUACGUGUACCGUUUUGUAUGUACCCUACGAAUAAGGAUCGGCUAACUCCGUGCCAGCAGCCGCGGUAAUACGGAGGAUCCGAGCGUUAUCCGGAUUUAUUGGGUUUAAAGGGUGCGUAGGCGGAAGAAUAAGUCAGUGGUGAAAGUUUGCAGCUCAACUGUAAAAUUGCCGUUGAAACUGUUUUUCUUGAGUGUAGAUGAGGUAGGUGGAAUGUGGUGUGUAGCGGUGAAAUGCUUAGAUAUGACACAGAACACCGGUUGCGAAGGCAGCUUACUAAGAUACAACUGACGCUGAGGCACGAAAGCGUGGGGAUCGAACA
Molecule: ribosomal RNA, 422 nt
Filed under: uncultured prokaryote
Description: bacterial SSU rRNA
Rfam family: Bacterial small subunit ribosomal RNA
Source: RNAcentral